GAUGAACGCUGGCGGCGUGCCUAAUACAUGCAAAUCGAGCGAACGGACGAGAAGCUUGCUUCUCUGAUGUUAGCGGCGGACGGGUGAGUAACACGUGGAUAACCUACCUAUAAGACUGGGAUAACUUCGGGAAACCGGAGCUAAUACCGGAUAAUAUUUUGAACCGCAUGGUUCAAAAGUGAAAGACGGUCUUGCUGUCACUUAUAGAUGGAUCCGCGCUGCAUUAGCUAGUUGGUAAGGUAACGGCUUACCAAGGCAACGAUGCAUAGCCGACCUGAGAGGGUGAUCGGCCACACUGGAACUGAGACACGGUCCAGACUCCUACGGGAGGCAGCAGUAGGGAAUCUUCCGCAAUGGGCGAAAGCCUGACGGAGCAACGCCGCGUGAGUGAUGAAGGUCUUCGGAUCGUAAAACUCUGUUAUUAGGGAAGAACAUAUGUGUAAGUAACUGUGCACAUCUUGACGGUACCUAAUCAGAAAGCCACGGCUAACUACGU
RNAcentral lists this ribosomal RNA (496 nucleotides) under uncultured bacterium. Its description in RNAcentral is "partial 16S ribosomal RNA". It matches the Rfam family "Bacterial small subunit ribosomal RNA", at positions 28 to 506 of the family's 1533-position model. The record is from RNAcentral.